AAGGGGAAAGGUUAUCCUCAGAUGCCUGCGGCGUUGGGUCAUCGGCCCGCAGUUGUUGGCCCGCACCCGGCUGCGGUGCCGUCUCCCGCCGUCAAACCUUCGAAAUCGGCUUCAGUGGAGGGUGUGACUUUGCCGUGUCGAUUUCAUGUGACCCAUUUGCUCGCGCACAGGCGGAUGCGGGCGUCAGUUUCAGGGUCCGCCCGGCAGUUGGGAUGCAGAUUCCUUGAGGAACAUCAGUCAGGUACUACUAGGUGAAGUUCAGUACCAGCCUGGAGGCUUCCUUUCUUUCCUCCCCCCAUCCCCUCCUUCCUCUCCCCUCCCUCUGCCAGCUUCUCAGGUGAGCUAGUGAGGUGGAGCGAGCCACCUGCCUUCUUUGGCCUGAGCAGGAGGAGGGGGCGGAGGUUCCUAAGCACUAAGCACGUGCAGGCCGGCCCUUGCUCACCCUUAUUGCUGAUCCUCACAACAGAUCAGCAAGACAGAAAUUACCCUCGCCAUUUUACACGUAGCUCCCAGAGGUUAAGGUCACACAGACCAAGCUGGGAUUUGAACCGUGGGCCUUCACACUUCAAAGCCAAGGCUUGUCCCAUAAUUAGGAGCACAAUGACCUCGCCAAUGAUUCCUCACAAUAAAGCUCCCGUGAUAUGUAUGUUCUCCAAAGAGCUUUAAAAAGAACCAAAACAGGAGCGUGAUUUGAAUGUCUUCAGCAGAACAGAGCAAAAGCUUUACCAUCUGUGGAGGCAAGUCGUAGAGGCCCUUUUGUUUGGCUAAGCGUCCCACCUGCAACUCUGCCCCUUCGCAUUGUUCAUUCCAUCUGCCUCCUGGGGAGAAGGGGGCAAUAAUUUUCAUCCAGAAGACCAGUUUCAGGUUUCCUCAUCUGGAGAUAAAUUAAUUUUCCAAGGCACACAAUUAUAGGCAACUUUUCAAAGAGUUACUGGAGGGGCGCCUGGGUGGCUCAGUCGUUAAGCGCCUGCCUUCGGCUCAGGUCAUGGUCCCA
Non-coding RNA from Leptonychotes weddellii (Weddell seal), 994 nucleotides. The record is from RefSeq and is a predicted model, not a curated record. NCBI's taxonomy places the organism in Eukaryota, Metazoa, Chordata, Mammalia, Carnivora, Phocidae.